Molecule: ribosomal RNA, 527 nt
Filed under: uncultured bacterium
Lineage: Bacteria
Description: bacterial SSU rRNA
Rfam family: Bacterial small subunit ribosomal RNA
Source: RNAcentral
UGGGGAAUUUUCCGCAAUGGGCGCAAGCCUGACGGAGCAACGCCGCGUGAGGGACGAAGGCCUCUGGGCUGCAAACCUCUUUUAUCAAGGAAGAAGAUCUGACGGUACUUGAUGAAUAAGCCACGGCUAAUUCCGUGCCAGCAGCCGCGGUAAUACGGGAGUGGCAAGCGUUAUCCGGAAUUAUUGGGCGUAAAGCGUCCGCAGGCGGCCUUGCAAGUCUGCUGUCAAAGAGUGGAGCUUAACUCCAUAAAGGCAGUGGAAACUGUGAGGCUUGAGUGUGGUAGGGGCAGAGGGAAUUCCCGGUGUAGCGGUGAAAUGCGUAGAUAUCGGGAAGAACACCAGUGGCGAAGGCGCUCUGCUGGGCCAUAACUGACGCUCAUGGACGAAAGCCAGGGGAGCGAAAGGGAUUAGAUACCCCUGUAGUCCUGGCCGUAAACGAUGAACACUAGGUGUCGGGGGAAUCGACCCCCUCGGUGUCGUAGCCAACGCGUUAAGUGUUCCGCCUGGGGAGUACGCACGCAAGUGUG